This is a non-coding RNA of Oceanobacter sp., 370 nucleotides long. Lineage: Bacteria; Pseudomonadati; Pseudomonadota; Gammaproteobacteria; Oceanospirillales; Oceanospirillaceae. The record is from Rfam.
GGAGUCGGCCAGACAGUCGCUGCCUGCGCAAGCAGGGGGAGGAAAGUCCGGGCUUCAUAGGGCAAGGUGCCAGGUAACGCCUGGGGGGCGUGAGCCCACGACCAGUGCAGCAGAGAGUAAACCGCCGAUGGCCGCUUUUGCGGAUCAGGUAAGGGUGAAAGGGUGCGGUAAGAGCGCACCGCGCGUCUGGUAACAGUUCGUGGCACGGUAAACUCCACCCGAAGCAAGACCAAAUAGGUUCCCUGUUACCCUUGAGGUACAAGGCGUGGCCCACGCUGGGAACGGGUAGGUCGCUUGAGCCUGCGAGUGAUUGCAGGCCUAGACGAAUGACUGUUUAACACAGAACCCGGCUUAUAGGCCGACUCCACUC